RNAcentral lists this long non-coding RNA (201 nucleotides) under Sorghum bicolor (sorghum). RNAcentral's name for it is "long non-coding RNA (SBIC_LNC010710)". Lineage: Eukaryota; Viridiplantae; Streptophyta; Magnoliopsida; Poales; Poaceae. The record is from RNAcentral.
GAGGAUUCUUGGUAAUUCUCUAAUUGUGCUUCUAAUUGCUUUCUAAUUAUCUUUGUUCUUCAAUAUUAUGAAUAUGACUUUGUUCUACUUCAAUAUAUUGCUUAUGACUUUGCUCUACUUGCUUAUAUUCAAGAUUAUAUUGUUCUUAGUUUAUCAUAGUUAUGUACUUGGCUUAGUUAGAUUCGAUCUAUAUACAUGCUU